AUCAGACUUGGGGUUGCCAAGGGGCAGGCAGGGAGGGAAAGGGAUGGACUGGGAAUGUGGGGUUAGUAGAUGCAAACAAUUACAUUUAGAAUGGAUAAACUACAUGGUCCUACUGUACAGCACAGGGAACUUUAUUCAGUAUCCUGUGAUAAACCAUAAUGGAAAAGAAUAUUAAAAAAAGAAUAGAUGUGUGUAUAAGUGAGUCACUUUGCUGUACAGCAGAGACUGGUACAACACUGUAAAUCAACUAUACUUCAAUAAAAAUAAAUAAAUAAAUGAAGAGGUGGAUUAGCUUAGAGGGUGGCACCCUAUCCUAUUCUGUUCUGGCAUGGGAGUAACUGAAGCAGGGACUAUUUUUAAAACAUCUCAACUCUGACAAGGAGGAUGAAACGGCCCAGCUCCCUGUGGUGUAUCUCAGUCACUGCCGCCUGCACUACCUUGCCUCACCCUUCCCUUCGAUCCUGAACUAAGGAAAACGGAGAUACUGAUUUGGACCAGGUUCCCCAGGUGAUGCAAUGCCCAGCUGCGGUGAAGAGAAGCGAGGAAGGGGAGGUGAUGCUCCUGCCUGGGAAAACGAUCUGCUGGCUGAUGCCUUAGCAAAGAAGGGACAGAAGCACUGACAAAUGGGCUGAUACGGCACUGCCCGUGAAACAGCAGAUGCUCUUCAGGCAUUGCCAAGUCUUGGAGUUUCGGGUCUGUAUUCUGUUGGAACCGGCUACUAGAUAAUGCAAUCGAAUUCCUCAUAUCCAAUUCCAGAACCGUCCAGCCACACGAGCGAACUGAUGAGGAGGAUGCUUUGGUGAAAGAGGUCGUAAACAACAUGUGGAUAUACUCAGGCUAGAAAGGAGGGUUUGAGAAGAGAGAUGCUGAUGUGUGGGGAGGAAUCCCAGGAUCCAGAAAAGCAGGAGGAAAGGAAGGCAUGAGGAGAAGCAAGGAUAGAAGCAGAUGUAGCUCAGAACCCUGGGGUACAACCUGCCUUUAAUGCUGAAAAAGAGAGACAGAAGUAAAAAUGGCCCAUUCAUGCCCAGCAGAGUCUGGCCAUAACUGCAUCUGGCAGGUUGCUUGCAAAUUAAAGCAAAAUAUUUUUAUCUUUAUCCUGCAAGGAACAAAAGUUAAAAAAAAGUUUUUAAUGACCAUAAAUACUUUUUAAACAUUUACUUACCAUCUUCUGGAUUAUAAAAGCUCAGAUAAAAUUCUAAAAAAUAAAAUUAGAAUUUUUUUCCCCACAGGCCUUAAAGGCCUUUGUGAGGGAUUACAAAAAAAUUACGCAGAUACAGAGAAAAUCUCCAUUUUCUUCAGAGGAAGGAUAGAAAGAGUGAAAGUACAUUUCUCUAUUGUUUCUAGAUGUUGGCAUGUUUAUUUUUUAAUCAGGAGGUAGUAUUUAUAAGCUUAAUAUGGGUAUCACAUGGAAUCUUGUUCUUUUAGCUCCUAAAAAUUGAGAAUGUAAUGUGUACUUGAGUCCCUUCCUGAGUUGGGAGUAUGGUAGGCUGAUAGUGGCUCUCAAGGGUGUGUCCCAACCCCUGGAACCAGUUACCUUAUUUGGAAAAAGGGUCUUUGCAGAUGUGAUUAAGUUAAGGGUCUUGCGAUGGGGAGAUAAUCUGGAUUAUCUUGAUGGGCCUGAUUGUAAUCACAUGUAUCCUUAUAGAGGCGGGAAGUAGAGGGAGAUUAGACAGACAGAAGAGGAGAAUCUGGCCUGGAAGCAGAGAUGAGAGCAUUGUGGCCACAAGCCAAGGAAUGACAGUAGCCACCAGAAGCUCCUGGUAGGAGCAAGGAAUGGAUUCUCCCCUGGAACCUCUGGAAGAAGCAUGACCUUCUGACAACUCAUUUCACACUUCUGGCCUCCAGAACUGAACAGAUCAGGGCGGAAGGGUUUCACUCCGUUGGAAUUCUCCACUCUGAAAAUCUUCUCUGGUGGGGUAGGAAGAAUUCAAAUUACAAGAAAGAAUGCAGCGUGAAGGAAUUUUAGCAGCAGCCGCCAGACUCUGAAUUGGUUCACCGACCCUGGAUAAAUGAAUGAAGUCUAGAAUUGGGAAACGGGUCUUCAGCCUUGUACUCUAUCUUCUUGGGCAAAUCUCUUAACCUCUCUGAGCUUCAAUUCUGUCUUCUACAAAUGAAGAGGGUUCGAUCAGACGAUUUCUAAGAUCUCUUACUGCUCUAACUUCUGUAUUUUUUCACGCAGUCCUGCUUCCACAAGCCAAUAACUUCUUCAUGACUUCUCCCUGAUAUCAAGGGACACCACAGAUGAAGGAAACCCACAGAGGAGAUUUGUUCAACUCACAAGCAUGCACUGAACACUGAGAAGGGGGGGUAGUGCUGGAGAAUGACCCAGCUGAUGCCUCUUACAACUCCAAGUGUUUAUUUUCUGAUCAGUAUCACCAUUUCCUGAGCACCUUACAUGGACCUGUGAGGAAAAAAAUUUUUUUAAGGGGGAAACUAGUAAAAAUUUCAUUCAU
This is a long non-coding RNA of Physeter macrocephalus (sperm whale), 2453 nucleotides long. RefSeq lists it as uncharacterized. Lineage: Eukaryota; Metazoa; Chordata; Mammalia; Artiodactyla; Physeteridae. The record is from RefSeq and is a predicted model, not a curated record. The transcript is spliced from 5 exons.